RNAcentral lists this ribosomal RNA (278 nucleotides) under uncultured archaeon. RNAcentral's name for it is "partial 16S rRNA". It matches the Rfam family "Archaeal small subunit ribosomal RNA", at positions 1047 to 1325 of the family's 1478-position model. The record is from RNAcentral.
GAGACCCACGCCCACAGUUGCCAGCGUUCCCUCCGGGGAGAUGGGUACUCCGUGGGGACCGCCGCUGCUAAAGCGGAGGAAGGAAUGGGCAACGGUAGGUCAGUAUGCCCCGAAUGUCCCGGGCUACACGCGGGCUGCAAUGGUAGGGACAGAGGGCUCCAACCUCGAAAGGGGGAGGUAAUCCCUAAACCCUAUCUCAGUUGGGAUUGAGGGCUGAAACCCGCCCUCAUGAACAUGGAAUCCCUAGUAAUCGCACGUCAUCAUCGUGCGGUGAAUAC